AAAUCAACUUAUUACAACACAAUUUAUUUAAGAACCGAAAUGUUCAAAUAAUUGUAAAACUGAUACAAUCUAAACUCAACAUACAAUUGCAUAUCAGACCUCAAAUGUUUGUUAAGAACUAAGGCACAAUUUUUUUUUUGAUACAGAUGUCUAAAAUUACUUAUAGUCCUUCCUCAACCCUUUAAUAGGAGAAUAAAUAUAUUUCAACACGCUCGAGCCCACAUCCUCCUAUAUAGACAAGAAUAUCAAUACCAACCAAAUUAGAAUUUAGUCGGCAAUUAAUUCACAAUUAAAACGGUACAAUUCACAUAACAUAUUGAGAUUUUAGGACCCCACAUUAUCAUCUAUGUCGACCUCCCUUUUUUUUGUCAAAUACUUUUUUUCUUCUUAUCACUAAAGAAAAUCACAACUUUUUAGAUGUUGAUGAUGAUGGAAAAUUUUCUUUUAACUUUUAUAUCUUUAUAAUUUCAAUUAUUUUUUUAAAGUUUAUAUAUAUUUUUAAUUUCCAAUGAUGAUAUGAUAUAAUCUAAAAGUAUUAUAUCAUCACAUUUUACGGGCAUUAGAAAAGGUUAGAUUAUGCCAUUAGUCCAUGUACUUUGUAAAAGUCGUGAAUUCUAUUUCUAGCCCUCACCAAACAGUAGUUGUUAAAUUAUGCUAUUUUUAAAAUCUAAUGCAGCAAAUAUAUUAUCAUAUGCAUAAUGUCAUGUCAACUUAUUAUUUCCAGAUAUUUCUAAUUAAAAAUCCAAUCAAUGGAUUGAAGACUACCAUUUGCAUCAGGACUAAAAUUUAAAAUUUUUAAAAGUAUAAGGACUUCGAGUUAUCCAAUUGGGUAAUAUGGGCUAAAUUUUACAACUAUACGUAAGUACAAGACUAGUUAUUGAAUUUAACAGCUCAAGUUUAACUAUCAUUGUUUGGGUAACGACUAAAAUUUCAGAAUUCGAAAAUUAUAGGGACUAAAAUUGAUCAAAUUAAAAUAUAAAGAUAAAAUUCACAAAUUUUAAAAUGUACAAGGACUAAUAGCAAAAUUUAACCUUAAAAAGACAAAAGAUGUGAUGCAAUCCAAAUUCGGGAACCAACCUAAAAAAAAAAUCAACAAACAAACUUUAAAUAUCAACUUGAGAAAAGUUGCUACGUUCAAGAGCUAAAUGUUGCUUUAUCCCUUAAUCAUAUGAAAAAUAAUUAUCUAAUUUUGAAUUUCACCCUUCAACUUUAUGAAAAUUGAUAAGUUAAUCUCUGAUCCUUGAACUUUAAGAAAACUAAGAAAUUAGUCCGUUUUGGUAAUAAAUGAAACUUUUGCACUUUUGGCCCCUCAAAAAAAAGUUAAUAAUUUAAUUUAAUCUCUUUUGACACAAUUUUAACUUUGAUCCGUAAAAUUUUAUAAUUUUAUCUCAACCUCACACCAUAAAUUUUUUAGCUUCGUCUUUAGGUCCCCCCUCUCCUUUCUUCACAGGGUAAACAAGUUGUCACAUUUAAAGGUCGGGUAAAUUAUAGUAUAGGUCAUCCAACUAUGGUUUUUUUUCUUUUUAGUCAUCCAACUAUAAAAAGUUACAAAAUGAUCAUUCAACUAUUCAAUUUUUGUCUUUUUUAGUAACCACUUGGCUAACAUAAAAAUAAAAACACCCAAAAAUCCUAUAGUUAGAUGGCCCAAGAAAGUAAUGAAUUCAAACUAAAUAUAUUUUAAAAUUAGAGUUAAAUAUUAUAAAUUGAUUAACCACAUAAUCUUUACUAUAUAUAUUACCAGAUAUAUAUAAUCAAUUAAUUAGCAUUAUUUUUGAAAUUUAAAGAUUACAAUAUGCUCCAAGUUUCUAUACUAUUGGCAUAUUUAGAAUUUAGUCCCUAUAUUUUUUUUAAAUUUAGUCAUUUUACUUUUUAAAUUUAAAAAUUCAAAUAUAGUUGUUAACACUGUUAAAAUUCACGCCAGUAUUUUAAUUAGAAUAAAAUAUCUAGGUUAACUAAUGGCAAUAUAAAGGUUGAGGUACUGAAUUAUGUCAAAAGUUAAAAUAUAAAGAUUAAAUCUCAAAUUUAAAUAAAAGAUAGGGACUGAAAUUAAAUUUUAACUAUUUUUUUAUAUUCCAAAAAAUAAAAAGAAUAUAUAUAUAUGGUAAGACAUUAGUUUAUAUGGUAAAAUAUUAUAGAUAGUAAUAUCAUAUAUUUAUCAUUGAUCAUUUAUAGUAAAAUAUAAAUAAAUAUAUGGUAAUAUAUAUGGAAACAUAGAAAUACACAUAAUGGAAAAAAAUCAUAUCAAAUCUAAUGUAUCAAAGUUUCCUAAUUUAUUAUUUUUGAAGUUAGGAAUAUAUUAUUUAUCUUUUAAAAAAUAUAAUUUUAUUUUUAAAUGAAUUAUCAUUUUAUAUACUGUUAGUGGAGUAAAAAAUGCUACAAACGAGUUUAGGUUGGCUUCUAUUCACCUUUAUGUUUGUCCAAACUCGACCUGAUUUGAAAUAUGGGCUUAAAAUUUUGCCCAAAUUUAUCUAUAUUUGUAAAAAAUUAUGCAAAUCCAUUUUAGGCUCACCUAUAUUGUUUUUAAAAAAUUAUUUAAUAAGUUUAUAUAUUUUUUAUUUAUUGAAUUUUUUUAUAAUCAUCUUAAUAUUACUUUAAUGUUUUUAUUAGAGUAAUAUUAUAUAUUUAGUAUAAAUUUAUUUUUUAAAUAUGUUCUGAAUUACAUAAAUUAUAAAAAUAACAUAAUAUAAAAAAUUAUAAACUUAAAAAUGGAUUGGAUCGAGUUAAAUUUGGGCCUUAAAUAUUUAAACUUUCGAGUUAACUUAUAUUUUAAACGAAUUUAUUUAUUUUUGUUUAAAUUUAUAUUUCAAACCUAAAUUUUUUUAAACCCUCUAAAAUGUCAAACCGCCUUUAAAUCUGGAUAAAUGACCCGAACAUCAACAGGUAAUAGAUUCCCUCCGACAAAAUAUCUUCCCAAAAGGUUUCCCUCUAAAAUAAUAUCUUCCCAACUGUACCUUCCUUUUUUUUAUCAAUUAUUUUCUUUGAAAUAAUCACCCGAUGAUUUCCAUCUUUUUAACUUUUGCCAUUAAAGUCUCACUCUUUUUUUCUUAAAACCUUCAAUUUUUUGUAUUUUUUUUAAUUUAGUUUCAAGCAACAAAAAUGGCUGAUGAAGCGUUAGUGAAGAACAAGCAAGUGGUUCUCAAGAACUAUGUGAAUGCCGGUUUGCCCAAAGAAUCAGAUAUGGAAAUCAAAGAAAAAAGCAUUCAAUUGAAAGUUCCAGAAGGGACUAAAGAUUCAAUUUUAGUGAAAAAUCUCUACUUAUCUUGCGAUCCUUACAUGAGGAAUCGUAUGAAGAAGCUCGAAGAUUCGUAUGUGCCGUCUUUUGAGCCCGGAUCGGUGAGUUUCAUGAAUCUGAACUGAAAAAAUUUCCCUUUUUUUCCCAUGUUUUUCGAGGAUUUUCAAUUUUGAUCUGGUUUUUUUUUAGUAAAUAGGUUUUGUUUGAUGACUUUGCUGGUACGGUUUAUAAGAAGCUUGGUGGGGGAAUUUAAUGAGAAUUUCAAAAAGAAAAAAUUUUGGAGGGUUUAAUUAGAAUUUUAGCUCAAAUCAAGGUUUAUAGUUCCCAAUGGUGAGUUCUGGCUGUUUAGGAUUGAG
RNAcentral lists this long non-coding RNA (3588 nucleotides) under Gossypium barbadense (sea-island cotton). RNAcentral's name for it is "long non-coding RNA (GBAR_LNC013842)". Lineage: Eukaryota; Viridiplantae; Streptophyta; Magnoliopsida; Malvales; Malvaceae. The record is from RNAcentral.